RNAcentral lists this ribosomal RNA (253 nucleotides) under uncultured bacterium. Its description in RNAcentral is "partial 16S ribosomal RNA". It matches the Rfam family "Bacterial small subunit ribosomal RNA", at positions 524 to 776 of the family's 1533-position model. The record is from RNAcentral.
UACGUAGGGUGCAAGCGUUGUCCGGAAUUAUUGGGCGUAAAGAGCUCGUAGGCGGUCUGUCGCGUCUGCUGUGAAAACUCAGGGCUUAACCCUGAGCUUGCAGUGGGUACGGGCAGACUAGAGUGCGGUAGGGGAGACUGGAAUUCCUGGUGUAGCGGUGAAAUGCGCAGAUAUCAGGAGGAACACCUGUGGCGAAGGCGGGUCUCUGGGCCGUAACUGACGCUGAGGAGCGAAAGCAUGGGGAGCGAACAGG